RNAcentral lists this non-coding RNA (187 nucleotides) under Streptomyces sp. Lineage: Bacteria; Bacillati; Actinomycetota; Actinomycetes; Kitasatosporales; Streptomycetaceae. The record is from RNAcentral.
UGGUAGCUUGCCCGGGCCAGUCGAACCCACGUGCGUGGGUCAGGGAAUCCGGUGCGAAUCCGGAACUGACGCGCAGCGGUGAGGGGGACGGGCGGGGCAGCAGCCACUGGACCACGGGCGUGGUCCGGGAAGGCGCCUCGUCCGGGUGAUCCCGAGUCCGAAGACCUGCUGGCGGCCUCCGCGCACG